CAAGUGCUGUUUGCAUGCUUUUACGGCUGCAAGACAGCCAUGACGAAGAAUGUGGACUUUGCUUGCCGAUGGCUAGACCUGAGCUACAAAGAAACCACUCGAAGAUCCGCAAGCUGUGCGGCGCAUCUGCUUUGUCGAGUCUUACGAUUCCAACGGAUGAUGCCCGCAGUUUGUAGUCUUCACCUAGGACCAUGAUCGCAUGUCGGUAGGAAUAUUUCUAUUCUGACGACUGUGAGAAUGCGCUCCAGAGCAAAGCAAGACCGGCGUACAAGGAGGUGGAUGACAGGAGCAAGGUUGAGGAGCCGCCGUCGAUGCGAGUCUAUAUGAUUCUUCCGACGGUGUGCGCCUCCCUUGCCGAUGCCCGCUUUUUUACGUUCUAUCAAUUUCUGAUAGCUGCUCGAGAAAAACACGGUUGGCGCCUGCCGAGGGACGAUUCGCUGCUCGCUUGGUGGUGCGCCGAUCUGCGUGCCUGCCGCAAGGUGGGUGUGCAGCUCGAAUAGUUACCUGGUUGAUUCUGCCAGU
RNAcentral lists this unclassified non-coding RNA (522 nucleotides) under Phragmotaenium flavum. Lineage: Eukaryota; Fungi; Basidiomycota; Exobasidiomycetes; Georgefischeriales; Tilletiariaceae. The record is from RNAcentral.